RNAcentral lists this unclassified non-coding RNA (891 nucleotides) under Centruroides sculpturatus (bark scorpion). RNAcentral describes it as "protein ABHD15-like, transcript variant X15". The record is from RNAcentral. Lineage: Eukaryota; Metazoa; Arthropoda; Arachnida; Scorpiones; Buthidae.
UCUUAUUGUUGUUAAUAUCUAUUGUUAAUUGAAGGAUUGUUUUCUUCUUCGAUUGUUGCGGUAGGUGGCGUUGUUAGUGCGAACGUGAAGAACGAAGCACUGACAUUCGGCACGGCUCGACGUUCCCCACUUUGACGUUUUGUUUACAACCAAAAAUAACGAAUUGAAAUUCCGCUUACAGUAUAAGUACUCGCGUGCGGGAUUUUUAAAAGGGUUGGAGUUUAAAGAAACGUCGUUUACGUAGAUUAACACACGGUAGAAAGAAGUAUGACAAUAGGGGUGUAAAUUAAUUAAGACGAAAGUUUUGAAAUGAAAUAAUAGACAUUGAAUAGAGAAAACGAAUUGAAGCAUCAAAAUUUCCAGGUGUACCCGCACACCAAUAAUUUAUCAAUCCGGACCUAUAGAGUUAAUCGGGAUCUCCUUCUUCCCCACACAGUCGAUGUUCCAGCGCAUCAAACCAAAGGCAUUAAUCUUGUUUACGAACUUUGUGGAAAAGUGCAAAAAGUUCCGGCGAUGGGCAAGACAAAAAGAAAAUAUCGAACAAUAUAAAUGUCUUGUAUCAGAAAACCGCUAUUUUCAUGGGAAACAAUGGCUCUAAUGUUUACGGGAAAACAUUAUUUAGUUUUUUCAGAGUUAUUCUUUGUGUUAUUUUAGUGAAAAUGUCUUUGAAAGUUCUCUUUCGUCCUUAGCCUUAAUGCGAUUUAUCGAAUAAGGACCGAAGUUCACACUCCGGAGACCGUCGGAAAUAAGAUUCGGUUUCUCGGUCUACACUCUCACGCUCUAUCCGAGGUGAUAGAUUCGAAUGCCGCCCUUCUCAGUCGCACCGUUCCGGAAUUCGAGAAACGAGUCUACUGGAAGAUGUGCAAUUGCAACAAUUGGGACGAAUAUUGG